UACGUAGGGGGCAAGCGUUGUCCGGAAUUAUUGGGCGUAAAGGGCACGCAGGCGGUUUGGCCAGUCUGAUGUGAAAAGCCACGGCUCAACCGUGGAGGGCCAUCAGAAACUGUCAGACUUGAGUGCAGAAGAGGAGAGCGGAAUUCCACGUGUAGCGGUGAAAUGCGUAGAGAUGUGGAGGAACACCAGUGGCGAAGGCGGCUCUCUGGUCUGACACUGACGCUGAGGUGCGAAAGCGUGGGGAGCGAACAGG
This 253-nucleotide unclassified non-coding RNA is filed under the name uncultured Caryophanales bacterium. RNAcentral describes it as "uncultured Bacillales bacterium contains 16S-23S intergenic spacer region". It matches the Rfam family "Bacterial small subunit ribosomal RNA", at positions 524 to 776 of the family's 1533-position model. The record is from RNAcentral. Lineage: Bacteria; Bacillati; Bacillota; Bacilli; Caryophanales.